UAUUUUCCUUUUUUUCCCUCAGCCGCGGUAAUACGUAGGGAGCAAGCGUUGUCCGGAUUUACUGGGUGUAAAGGGUGCGUAGGCGGCUUUGCAAGUCAGAUGUGAAAUCUAUGGGCUCAACCCAUAAACUGCAUUUGAAACUGUAGAGCUUGAGUGAAGUAGAGGCAGGCGGAAUUCCCCGUGUAGCGGUGAAAUGCGUAGAGAUGGGGAGGAACACCAGUGGCGAAGGCGGCCUGCUGGGCUUUAACUGACGCUGAGGCACGAAAGCGUGGGUAGCAAACAGG
RNAcentral lists this ribosomal RNA (284 nucleotides) under Ruminococcus bromii. RNAcentral describes it as "partial 16S ribosomal RNA". It matches the Rfam family "Bacterial small subunit ribosomal RNA", at positions 494 to 776 of the family's 1533-position model. Lineage: Bacteria; Bacillati; Bacillota; Clostridia; Eubacteriales; Oscillospiraceae. The record is from RNAcentral.